RNAcentral lists this ribosomal RNA (253 nucleotides) under uncultured bacterium. Its description in RNAcentral is "partial 16S ribosomal RNA". It matches the Rfam family "Bacterial small subunit ribosomal RNA", at positions 524 to 776 of the family's 1533-position model. The record is from RNAcentral.
UACGGGGGGGGCAAGCGUUGUUCGGAAUUACUGGGCGUAAAGGGCUCGUAGGUGGCCAACUAAGUCAGACGUGAAAUCCCUCGGCUUAACCUGGGAACUGCGUCUGAUACUGGGAGGCUUGAGUAUGGGAGAGGGAUGUAGAAUUCCAGGUGUAGCGGUGAAAUGCGUAGAUAUCUGGAGGAACACCGGUGGCGAAGGCGGCAUCCUGGACCGACACUGACGCUGAGGAGCGAAAGCCAGGGGAGCAAACGGG